UGGGGAAUAUUGCACAAUGGGCGAAAGCCUGAUGCAGCGACGCCGCGUGAGGGAUGACGGCCUUCGGGUUGUAAACCUCUUUCAGUAGGGACGAAGCGCAAGUGACGGUACCUGCAGAAGAAGCACCGGCUAACUACGUGCCAGCAGCCGCGGUAAUACGUAGGGUGCGAGCGUUGUCCGGAAUUACUGGGCGUAAAGAGCUCGUAGGCGGUUUGUCACGUCGUCUGUGAAAUCCUAGGGCUUAACCCUGGACGUGCAGGCGAUACGGGAUGACUUGAGUACUACAGGGGAGACUGGAAUUUCUGGUGUAGCGGUGGAAUGCACAGAGAUCAGGAAGAACACCGAUGGCGAAGGCAGGUCUCUGGGUAGUAACUGACGCUGAGGAGCGAAAGCAUGGGUAGCGAACAGG
RNAcentral lists this ribosomal RNA (409 nucleotides) under bacterium. RNAcentral describes it as "partial 16S ribosomal RNA". It matches the Rfam family "Bacterial small subunit ribosomal RNA", at positions 355 to 776 of the family's 1533-position model. The record is from RNAcentral.